This is a non-coding RNA of Pelobates cultripes (western spadefoot toad), 304 nucleotides long. The record is from the annotation of a GenBank genome assembly. NCBI's taxonomy places the organism in Eukaryota, Metazoa, Chordata, Amphibia, Anura, Pelobatidae.
GUAUUAGGCUGAGGUUGUUGGGUGUGGGUAUAGCUUGAAAGUUGUGGUUGGUAUUGAGGAACCUGCCAGGGUGGGAGUCCUUGAAUGCCAGCUGGGCCAGGUUCUCCCCUAGCACCGGGUUCUCCUUUGUCUCCUUGAGCACCAGGUUCACCAUUGUUACCCUUAGGUCCAGGGGAACCCUUGGGGCCCUGAGGUCCAGGAGCACCACAGGCACCAGGGAAGCCAGGGACACCAGCAAUACCAGUGGGGCCAGCUUGACCAGGAGAACCGGGUUCACCACAAGCACCUUGGGGUGAAUCCCUGC